Molecule: ribosomal RNA, 253 nt
Filed under: uncultured bacterium
Lineage: Bacteria
Description: partial 16S ribosomal RNA
Rfam family: Bacterial small subunit ribosomal RNA
Source: RNAcentral
UACGGAGGUGGCUAGCGUUGUUCGGACUUACUGGGCGUAAAGCGCACGUAGGCGGACUUGUCAGUCAGGGGUGAAAUCCCGGGGCUCAACCUCGGAACUGCCUUUGAUACUGCAAGUCUCGAGUCCGGAAGAGGUGAGUGGAAUUCCUAGUGUAGAGGGGAAAUUCGUAGAUAUUAGGAAGAACCCCAGUGGCGAAGGCGGGUCUCUGGACAGUUCCUGACACUGAGACACGAAGGCCAGGGGAGCAAACGGG